AGGGUGUAAACGCUGCAGACUUGGUGUUGGAGGCCCUUUGGGGGCAUUCAGUGCCGGAGAGAAGUUGUUAAGUCUGCUACUUGGGGAGUACGUCCGCAAGGAUGAAACUUAAAGGAAUUGGCGGGGGAGCACCGCAACGGGAGGAGCGUGCGGUUUAAUUGGAUUCAACACCGUAAAACUCACCAGGAAGACUGUUACAUGAAGGCCGAGAUGAAGACUCUGCUAGAUUUUCAGAGAGGAGGUGCAUGGCGUCAGUGACU
RNAcentral lists this ribosomal RNA (260 nucleotides) under uncultured archaeon. RNAcentral's name for it is "partial 16S ribosomal RNA". It matches the Rfam family "Archaeal small subunit ribosomal RNA", at positions 748 to 1008 of the family's 1478-position model. The record is from RNAcentral.